Molecule: ribosomal RNA, 429 nt
Filed under: Acidobacteriota bacterium
Lineage: Bacteria; Pseudomonadati; Acidobacteriota
Description: Acidobacteria bacterium partial 16S ribosomal RNA
Rfam family: Bacterial small subunit ribosomal RNA
Source: RNAcentral
UGGGGAAUUUUGGACAAUGGGGGAAACCCUGAUCCAGCCAUCCCGCGUGUGCGAUGAAGGCCUUCGGGUUGUAAAGCACUUUUGGCAGGAAAGAAACGUCAUGGGUUAAUACCCCGUGAAACUGACGGUACCUGCAGAAUAAGCACCGACUAACUACGUGCCAGCAGCCGCGGUAAUACGUAGGGUGCAAGCGUUAAUCGGAAUUACUGGGCGUAAAGCGUGCGCAGGCGGUUCGGAAAGAAAGAUGUGAAAUCCCAGAGCUCAACUUUGGAACUGCAUUUUUAACUACCGGGCUAGAGUGUGUCAGAGGGGGGUGGAAUUCCGCGUGUAGCAGUGAAAUGCGUAGAUAUGCGGAGGAACACCGAUGGCGAAGGCAGCCUCCUGGGAUAACACUGACGCUCAUGCACGAAAGCGUGGGAAGCAAACAGG